GGUUAAGCGACUAAGCGUACACGGUGGAUGCCCUGGCAGUCAGAGGCGAUGAAGGACGUGCUAAUCUGCGAAAAGCGCCGGCGAGGUGAUAUGAACCCUUGACCCGGCGAUGUCCGAAUGGGGAAACCCAGUGCAAUCCGUUGCACUAUCGUUAACUGAAUACAUAGGUUAACGAGGCGAACCGGGGGAACUGAAACAUCUAAGUACCCCGAGGAAAAGAAAUCAACCGAGAUUCCCCCAGUAGCGGCGAGCGAACGGGGAGCAGCCCGGAGUCUGAAUCAGCUUGUGUGUUAGUGGAACGGUCUGGAAAGUCCGACGGUACAGGGUGAUAGUCCCGUACACGAAAGCACACAUGCUGUGAACUCGAAGAGUAGGGCGGGACACGUGGUAUCCUGUCUGAAUAUGGGGGGACCAUCCUCCAAGGCUAAAUACUCCUGACUGACCGAUAGUGAACCAGUACCGUGAGGGAAAGGCGAAAAGAACCCCGGCGAGGGGAGUGAAAAAGAACCUGAAACCGUGUACGUACAAGCAGUGGGAGCCUCUUUAUGGGGUGACUGCGUACCUUUUGUAUAAUGGGUCAGCGACUUAUAUUCUGUAGCAAGGUUAACCGUAUAGGGGAGCCGAAGGGAAACCGAGUCUUAACUGGGCGUUAAGUUGCAGGGUAUAGACCCGAAACCCGGUGAUCUAGCCAUGGGCAGGUUGAAGGUUGGGUAACACUAACUGGAGGACCGAACCGACUAAUGUUGAAAAAUUAGCGGAUGACCUGUGGCUGGGGGUGAAAGGCCAAUCAAACCGGGAGAUAGCUGGUUCUCCCCGAAAGCUAUUUAGGUAGCGCCUCGUGAACUCAUCUUCGGGGGUAGAGCACUGUUUCGGCUAGGGGGCCAUCCCGGCUUACCAACCCGAUGCAAACUACGAAUACCGAAGAAUGUUAUCACGGGAGACACACGGCGGGUGCUAACGUCCGUCGUGAAGAGGGAAACAACCCAGACCGCCAGCUAAGGUCCCAAAGUCAUGGUUAAGUGGGAAACGAUGUGGGAAGGCACAGACAGCCAGGAUGUUGGCUUAGAAGCAGCCAUCAUUUAAAGAAAGCGUAAUAGCUCACUGGUCGAGUCGGCCUGCGCGGAAGAUGUAACGGGGCUAAACCAUGCACCGAAGCUGCGGCAGCGACACUAUGUGUUGUUGGGUAGGGGAGCGUUCUGUAAGCCGUUGAAGGUGUGCUGUGAGGCAUGCUGGAGGUAUCAGAAGUGCGAAUGCUGACAUAAGUAACGAUAAAGCGGGUGAAAAGCCCGCUCGCCGGAAGACCAAGGGUUCCUGUCCAACGUUAAUCGGGGCAGGGUGAGUCGACCCCUAAGGCGAGGCCGAAAGGCGUAGUCGAUGGGAAACAGGUUAAUAUUCCUGUACUUGGUGUUACUGCGAAGGGGGGACGGAGAAGGCUAUGUCAGCCGGGCGACGGUUGUCCCGGUUUAAGCAUGUAGGCGGAGGUUCCAGGUAAAUCCGGUACCUUGUUAACGCUGAGGUGUGAUGACGAGGCACUACGGUGCUGAAGUGAUAAAUGCCCUGCUUCCAGGAAAAGCCUCUAAGCAUCAGGUAACACGAAAUCGUACCCCAAACCGACACAGGUGGUCAGGUAGAGAAUACCAAGGCGCUUGAGAGAACUCGGGUGAAGGAACUAGGCAAAAUGGUGCCGUAACUUCGGGAGAAGGCACGCUGAUGUGUAGGUGAAGCCCCUGCGGGUGGAGCUGAAAUCAGUCGAAGAUACCAGCUGGCUGCAACUGUUUAUUAAAAACACAGCACUGUGCAAACACGAAAGUGGACGUAUACGGUGUGACGCCUGCCCGGUGCCGGAAGGUUAAUUGAUGGGGUUAGCGGCAACGCGAAGCUCUUGAUCGAAGCCCCGGUAAACGGCGGCCGUAACUAUAACGGUCCUAAGGUAGCGAAAUUCCUUGUCGGGUAAGUUCCGACCUGCACGAAUGGCGUAAUGAUGGCCAGGCUGUCUCCACCCGAGACUCAGUGAAAUUGAACUCGCUGUGAAGAUGCAGUGUACCCGCGGCAAGACGGAAAGACCCCGUGAACCUUUACUAUAGCUUGACACUGAACACUGGUCCUUGAUGUGUAGGAUAGGUGGGAGGCUUUGAAGCGUGGACGCCAGUCUGCGUGGAGCCGCCCUUGAAAUACCACCCUUUAAUGGCUGGUGUUCUAACGUGGACCCGUUACCCGGGUUGCGGACAGUGUCUGGUGGGUAGUUUGACUGGGGCGGUCUCCUCCCAAAGAGUAACGGAGGAGCACGAAGGUUGGCUAAUCCUGGUCGGACAUCAGGAGGUUAGUGCAAUGGCAUAAGCCAGCUUGACUGCGAGCGUGACGGCGCGAGCAGGUGCGAAAGCAGGUCAUAGUGAUCCGGUGGUUCUGAAUGGAAGGGCCAUCGCUCAACGGAUAAAAGGUACUCCGGGGAUAACAGGCUGAUACCGCCCAAGAGUUCAUAUCGACGGCGGUGUUUGGCACCUCGAUGUCGGCUCAUCACAUCCUGGGGCUGAAGUAGGUCCCAAGGGUAUGGCUGUUCGCCAUUUAAAGUGGUACGCGAGCUGGGUUUAGAACGUCGUGAGACAGUUCGGUCCCUAUCUGCCGUGGGCGCUGGAGAAUUGAGGGGGGCUGCUCCUAGUACGAGAGGACCGGAGUGGACGCAUCACUGGUGUUCGGGUUGUCAUGCCAAUGGCACUGCCCGGUAGCUAAAUGCGGAAGAGAUAAGUGCUGAAAGCAUCUAAGCACGAAACUUGCCCCGAGAUGAGUUCUCCCUGAGACUUUAAGUCUCCUGAAGGAACGUUGAAGACGACGACGUUGAUAGGUCGGGUGUGUAAGCGCAGCGAUGCGUUGAGCUAACCGAUACUAAUGAACCGUGAGGCUUAACCUU
This 2905-nucleotide ribosomal RNA is filed under the name Enterobacter cloacae. RNAcentral describes it as "23S ribosomal RNA". It matches the Rfam family "Bacterial large subunit ribosomal RNA". Lineage: Bacteria; Pseudomonadati; Pseudomonadota; Gammaproteobacteria; Enterobacterales; Enterobacteriaceae. The record is from RNAcentral.